CGCUCCCCGCGCUGCCGCCGCCGCUCUCGGCUCGCCGGGGUCCCGCGGAGCCCGGGGCCGGUGCGGGACAUCCGCGCCCAGCAGCCACCAGCGCCGUCCUGCCUCGCCGCCGCCAUGGCCAUCUCCUCGCGCCUGGCGCUCUGGGAGCAGAAGAUCCGUGACGAGGACCGGGGGCCACCCCCGUCUGCACCCCCCCUGCUGCUGUCGGUCAUCCCGGGGGGGUUCAUCAGGCAGCUCGUGAGGGAGACGGAGCAGGAGGCCAAGGCGGCGCGGCGGAGGAAGGAGAGCAGGGUGGGCACCAAGGAGGAGCCCACGGAGAAGGACGGCGAGGCCGGAGGAGGGGGAGCCGCCGAGGGGCCGCUGCGGAACGGGCUGAAGGCAGAGGGGCAGGGGGCCAAGGGGGUCACGGCCCCCCCGCACAAGGAGCUGCCCCCUGAGAAGGCUGUGCCGGGGACUGUCCCCAGCAAAAUCCCGGCCCCUGCACCUGGCCCGGCAGCGCCUGCCCCCAAACCGGCAGAGGCGACCCCCAAAAAAGCAGAAACGUCCCCCAAAACAGCAGCACCUGUCCCCAAACUGGCAGAGACACCCCCAAAGAGAGCAGAGACCCCCCGAAAACCAGCAGAGGCAUCCUCAAAACCAGCAGAAACAUCCCCUAAAACAGCAGAGGCUUCUUCCAAACCAUCAGAGACCACCCCCAAACUGGCAGAGACCCCUCGCCCAGGGGCUCCCAAAGUGGGAAAGCCAUUGUGGCCUGGGAAGAGCCUCAGGGACUCCUUCCUGGGGGGCAGCCCCCCAGCUCCAGCCCCUGCACCCAGCCAGGGCCCCCAGCAAGGCAGCAAAGUCCCAGCGAAGGAAGGGAACGUGGCCAAGGGGACAGUCCCUGAGACCACCAAGAAGGAGAAGGGGACAGUCCUUGAGACCACCAAGGAGAAGGGGACAGUCCUUGACACCACCAAAAAGGAGAAGGGGACAGUCACUGAGACCACCAAGGAGAAGGGGACAGUCCUUGAGACCACCAAAAAGGAGAAGGGGACAGUCACUGAGAGCACCAAGGAGAAGGGGACAGCCCCGAGGCGCGAGGAGCCCCUAGCCAAGGUGAAAGCCCAGUGGGAGCUGUUGUCAGCCAGGAAAGAGCCAGAGAAGAUGAAGAAAGAUGUUGGACGUGGCAAGAAGGAGCCAAAGGAGAUCAAAAAGCCUGAAAAAAACACCAACAAGUCAGAGGGUGUCAAGGGGGAGCCGGGAGGGAUCCAAGAGAAGUCCACAGAUGUGGGAAAAGAGGUGGGGAAGGUGAAGGAAGAGCUGGGAAAGGGUAAAGAGAUGCUGAAAGAGAGCGAAGGGAUUGGCAAGAGCAUGGAAAAGGACCAGGCUAAAGAAACAUCGGGAACAAGCAAAGAGACGAGCAAGAGCAUGGAAAAAGACCAGGAUAAAGAGGCAUCGGGCGAGAGCACGGACAAGGAGCAGGCUCCCAGGGACGUUUGGUACGAGGCAGAGAAGGUCUGGCUGAUCCAGCAGGACGGGUUCACACUCGCCACGCAGCUGAAGCCAGACGUGGGGACCCCGGAGCUGCCGGCCGGGAGGGUGAGGGUGCGCCGGGACGAGGAUGGCACCGUCACCGAGGUGGACGAGGACAGCGUGCAGAGGACCAACCCCCCCAGCCUGGACCAGGCCGAGGAUCUGGCCGCGCUCGUCAGCCUCAACGAGUGCAGCGUCCUGAACACGCUGCGGCAGCGCUACCGCGCCCGCCUGCCCUGCACCUACGCGGGGUCCAGCCUGGUGGCCAUCGCCACCGGCCCCGCGCCCGCCGGAGGAGCCGGGAAGGUCCCCAGGGGGAAGCGGGACAACCUUCCCCCGCACAUCUGCUCGCUGGCACACAGAGCCUACAGGAACCUGCUGAUGCAGCGGCAGGACCAGGCCAUCAUCCCCCUGGGGCACAGCGGGGCCGGCAGGACCCGGUGCUGCCAGAGCGCUCUGGAGUUCCUGGUGGGCACGGCGGGCAGCCUGGACGGAAGGGUCUCAGUGGAGAAGAUCCAGGCGAUGUUCACAGUCCUGGGAGCCUUUGGCUCAGUGACCACCAGCCACAGCAGCAGUUCCACGCGCUUCUCCAUGGUCCUGUCCCUGGAUUUCAGUGCCACCGGCCAGGUCACAGCUGCUCACCUCCAGACCUUGCUGCUGGAGAGGACCCGCGUUGCCCAGCAGCCCGAAGGAGAGAGCAGCUUCAACAUCUUCCCACUGCUGCUGGCAGGGCUGGAUGUGGCAGAGAGGACGAUGCUGCACCUGCACCAGGCGGCUGAGAGCAAUUCCUUUGGGAUCAAACCCUUCACAAAGCCCGAGGACAAGCAGAGAGCCUCGGUGGCCUUCACCCAGCUCCGGGCUGCCAUGGGCACGCUGGGCAUCACCAGGGAGGAGCAGGCGGCCGUGUGGCGCAUCCUGGCCGGAAUCUACCACCUGGGAGCUGCUGGAGCCUGCAAAGUGGGCAGGAAGCAGUUCCUGAGGUUCGAGAGCGCCAGCCGCGCUGCCGAGGUGCUGGGCUGCGACGUGGAGGAGCUCGGCACCGCCGUCUUCAAGCACCACCUGAGGCACAUCCUGGCACAGGUGACAGCGCGGGGCCGGCCCCAAGCGGAGGAGAGCCCGCCAGGGCCCAAGAUGACGGGAGUGGAGUGUGUGGAGGGAAUGGCCGCGGGGCUCUACGAGGAGCUCUUUGCCGCCGUGGUCUCGCUCAUCAACAGGUCCUUCUCCUCCCAGCACCUCUCCAUGGCCUCCAUCGCCGUGGUGGACACCCCUGGCUUCCAGAGCCCGCGGCAGCAGCGGGGCGAGCGCGCAGCCACCUUCGAGGAGCUGUGCCACAACUACGUCCAGGAGAGGCUGCAGGGGCUCUUCUACGAGAAAACCUUCCUGCGGGAGAUGGAGAGGUACAGAGAGGAAAAUGUUGAGGUGUCUUUUGAUCUUCCAGAGCGCUCUCCACUGGCCACGCUGUCCAUCAUCGACCUGAGCUGCUCCCAGCCGCAGGUGCUCCCGGGCAGCCCCGGGGCCGCCCGCCGGGGGCUGCUGUGGAUCCUGGACGAGGAGGUGCUGAUCCCAGGCUCCGGGGAUGGCACUGCCUUCGAGCGCCUCUGCUCCUACUUCGCCACCAAGGGUCCCGACCAGGAGGGUGAGGGGCAGCUGCGCAGGUGCGAGCAGACGCUGCACUUCGAGAUCUGCCACCAGCUGGGCACGGCCCCCGUGCGCUACGACCUCACGGGCUGGGUCAGCAAGGCCAAGUUCAACCUCUCGGCCCAGAAUGCCAUCCAGGUGCUGCAGAAUUCCACGGUAGCUGCGGUUCGGGAGCUGGUGCAGCCGCGGGCCGGGGCUCCGCUGUCCUGCCGCGCCCUGGCCGGGCUGGAGGGUCGCUCCCAGGCCGCCCUGCACCGCAACGCCUGCCUGAGGAAAACCUUCGCCAGCAGCUUCGCCGCCGUCAGGAAGAGGUCGGUGUGCGCCCAGAUCAAGCUGCAGGCGGAUGCCCUCACCAACCUUCUCCGACGGGCCCAGCUGCACUUUGUCCACUGCCUCCUGCCAGGGAUGGGCCAGGAGGGGCCGGUCCCUUGGCCCCCGGCGCCCCCGGACGCUGCCCCACAGCUGGAUGUGGUGGCCCUGAGGACACAGCUGGAGGGGACCCAGCUCCUGGAUGCCCUGCGCCUGCACCGUGUCGGCUAUUCGGAUCGGCUGCUGCUCACGCAGUUCCGCAGGCGCUUCCAGGUGCUGGCUCCCGAGGUGAUGAAGAAGCACAACUCUGCCUACGAGGUGCCAGAUGAGAGCAAGGCUAUCGAGGAGCUGUUCCAGGCGCUGGAUCUGGAGAAGAAGAGCGUUGCCGUAGGACGCACCCAGGUGUUCCUGAAGCCGGGGGUCAUCUCCAGGCUGGAGAAGCAGCGGGACAAGCUGAUAGCCCAGAAGAUGACUCUGCUCCAGGCUGCCUGCAAGGGCUUCCUCAGCCGCCAGAAGUUCAAGAGAUUGAAGAUCCAGCGCCUCGCCAUCCGCUGCAUCCAGAAGAACCUGGUGGUGUUCCAGGCAGUCAGGCACUGGCCCUGGUGGCAGCUGCUGAGCCACGUGCGGCCCCUGCUCAGCGUUAACGUCGCCGAGGAGCAGCUCCGUGCUAAGGAAGAGGAGCUGGCGGCGCUGAGAAGGAAGCUGGAAAAAUCCGAGCAGGCGUGCAGCGAGCUCAGACAGAAUACAGAGAGCCUGGAGAGCAAGAUCAUCGACCUGACCACGGAGCUGUCGGAUGAGCGGUACAAGGGCGAUGUCACCUGCCAGGCCCUGGACGGGGAGCGGGCGGAGCGGCUGCGGGGCACCCGCGAGCUGCAGGAGCUGCAGAGCAAACACAACCAAGUGCAGAAGAAACUGGAGUCGGUGGAGAAGCAGCUGGAAGAGGCGCAGCAGCUGGUGCAGCUGCGUGAGAUGAAGAUAAGCGGCUCUGGAGGAGAGGACGAGUGGCAGGUGAGGUUUGACUGCGCCCAGACCGAGAUCGUUUUCCUGCGGAAGCGGCUGGCGCAGCUGGAGGAGCGGCUGGAGGCAGAGCUGGGCACCAGGACAGGGCUGGAGCAAAAGCUGGGCGAGGCGCAGGCCGCGUGCCAGGCGGCGCGGGACGGGGCGCAGCGGCUGCGGCGGCGGUGCCAGCGCCUGGCCUGCGAGCUGGAGGACGCCCGGGUGCUGGCCGAGAACCAGCAGAGCCGCAGCCACGAGCUGGAGAAGAGGCAGAAGAAGUUUGACCUGCAGUUAGCCCAGGCCCUGGGGCAAUCUGCCUUCGAGAAGAGCCUCCGUGAAAAGCUGUCCCAGGAGAACACGAGCAUCCGCUGGGAGAUGGGCAAACUUCAGCAGAGCCUGCAGGGGGUUGGGAUGAUGCCUCUGGAGAUGCUGUGGGCUCUGAGAGCGGGGUGUGAGUGUCCUGGCUCUGACCCCCGCUCUGCCCAGCACAAGGAAGCUGAGGUGGCCAGGCUGGAGCAGCAGGUGGCCGUGCUGGCCGGCCGGGUGCAGGAGCUCAGCGCCCCCGGGACCACGGACACAGUGCCCGCGCUCAAGAAGAAGCUCUGGGACCUGGAGGGCAGCGCUGCCGAGCAGAAGAAGGAGCUGGAGCGGCAAACGGCCGCCGUUGAUCACCUGGAGCAGGUGCACGAGAGGCUGGAGCUGGAGAUCGAGCGGAUGAAGCAGAUCCACCAGAAGGAGCUGGAGGACAAGGACGAGGAGCUGGAGGACACGCAGAAGUCCUGCCAGAAGAGGCUCCGGCAGCUGGAGAUGCAGCUGGAGCAGGAGCACGAGCAGAAGCAGAUGGUGCUGCACGAGAAGCAGGACCUGGAAGGGCUCAUUGGCACCUUGUGCGAGCAGAUCGGCCACCGCGACUUCGACGUGGAGAAGCGGCUGCGGCGGGACCUGCGCAGGACCCGCGCCCUCCUGGCCGACGUUCAGCUGCUGCUGGCGGCCCCGGCAGAGCCCGGAGCCAGCGCCCAGGAGCUGGAGCACCUGCGCAAACAGUUGGAGGAGAGCGAAGCAAGGUGUGCAGAGGCCCAGCGAUCCCAGCAGACAGUGGCCCUGGAGCUGGAGAACCUCCACACGGAGCUGGAGACCCUCAGCAGGAACAAGACCCUGGUGGACGAGCAGCUGUUCCAGCUGCAGCAUGAGCGAGCCGACCUGCUGAAACGCAUCGACGAGGACCAGGAAGACCUGAACGAGCUCAUGGAAAAGCACAAGGCUCUGAUCGCCCAGUCGGCCACAGACAUCGCUCAGAUCCGGGAGCUGCAGACACAGGUGGAGGAUGUGAAGAAAGAAAAGCAGAGCCUGCAGGAGAAGCUGCAGGCAGCUCAGGCCAGGGCGGCGCAGCUGGAGCAGUGCCCGGCCGAGCGCUCCAUCGUCAGCCGGCAGGAAGCGCGGAUCCGGGACCUGGAGAGCCAGCUGGACUUCCAGGCCGUGCAGAUGAAGCGCUUCGAGGUGCUGGUGCUGCGCCUGCGAGACAGCAUCAUCCAGAUGGGAGAGGAGCUGGAGAAGGCGGCCGAGUCGGAGGCACGGGAGAGGGAGAACACCAGGUACUACCAGAGGAGGAUGGAGGAGAUGAAGGCUGACAUGGACGAGCUGGUGCAGAGGGAGCUGGAGUCCAGCCGCCGGCGCAUGGAGCUGGAGCAGCAGCUGGCAGAGCUGGCAGAGGUGCGGCAGGCGCUGCAGGCUGACCUGGGCACCUCCAUCCGCCGCAUCGCAGACCUGCAGGUGGCCCUGGAGGGGCUGCGGGACAGCGACGACAGCGACGCUGACAGCGCGCGGACGGCGCGGGAGUCGCAGUGCUCCAGGAGAGACACGGAUGCCUGCUCCAGUGUUGGCUCCGUGCUCAGCCUGGAGCCCGCAGAGAGCCUCAAGUCCUGGCCGAGUUCCUCCGCGGGCUGGACGUCCCUGGCGAGCGCCAGCGUGGCCGGGAGCGUCUCAGCACCGUCCAUCGGCAGCCGCAGCACCCAGAGCCUCAGGGUGAGCAGAGACACCAAGGACGCCGCUCUGAGCCGGCCGCUGUCCUCCCGCAGCGCUGCCCGGCCCAGCGACGCUGCGGAUCCCGGGAGGACGGCGAGUCCCCUGCCGGGGACAAGAAGACGGGAAUAUGGAAAACCUCUGGCGGAAGAAGAGGAGCUGGAGAGCCCAAAGAAGCCCGUGGAGAGGAUAGCAGAGACGUCGCCAUCGAUGCUGCGCCGUGGCGGCUCCCCGGCUGCGGACGGGCGGGUCCCCAGCGCGAUGUCCCCGCCGGUGCCCGGCAGGAGGAGGCUCUCGGUGGCCUCGGGGCCGGUGCCCAGCUCUGCCGCUCUCUCCGAGUACGUGGAGGAGCUGCGGCGGCAGCGGGGAGCGGAGCGGGAGCCGGGGCUGCCGGCGCUGGGGGACCCCUCUCCGCUCCCCAUUUACCGCACCACGGGCGCCGCGGCCCUGCGCCGCUCCAGGGCUGUCCCGGCGGCCGAGGAGCUCCCGGGGAGGCUGGAGGGGGAUCAGGCAGGCGAAGGGGAGGGAGCAGGUGGCAGCCUCACACGCUCCUCCAGCCUGCGGAGCAUGGCCUCGGAGCCGGCAGAGCCCCCGCGGUCCCCAGCGCUGAAAAAGGCAUCGAAAUUCGGCUCCUACGACUCGCUGCUGCCGGCCCUCGACGGCUCCGGCCGCCGGCCGAGCUCCCCGGCUGCCGGCAUGGAGGUGCCGCGGCUGAGCUCCUGGAGGAGCUGCCUGGAGCCGUCGCUGGAGGAUGUGGAGCUUGGGAAGGAGCCGGAGGCAUUUCUGAGCUCUGUGUCCAGCGAGGGGCUGGGCGAGGGGAAGGGGAGCGACCCCUUCAGCUGGCGAAUACCCACCCUCAACUACGAGAGGAGAACCAAGGUUGACUUCGACGAUUUCCUGCCGGCCAUCCGCAAGUCCCGCUCCGCCAGCAGCCUGGCCAGGCCCCGCAGGGACAGAAGGGACGGCCACCGGCCCCUCACCGUGCGCUUCGAGGAUGAGGCCGGUCCGGAGCCCUCUGAGGCCAAGGGCACGGCCAAGAGCAGGGAAGAGCCCGGGGAUCUCUCUGACUCCUCCUCAUCCUCCGGCUCCCACCUCUCCUCCCGCAGCGCCGACAGCAUCAAGCGCCGGCCGCAGCCGGCGAGAGGGGCCGGGGAGGGCUCCAGCGGCACCCUGGGCAGCGGGACGAGCCGCAGAGCCGAGGCCGAAGGGAAGGAGGACGAUGUCAGCAGCAUCAUGAAGAAGUACCUGGGCAAAGACUAAAAGGAUUCGCUUCGAUCCAAGCGCAGCAGCUGGCCCCGACCCGCAGUGACGAGGAGCCACGUGGGGCACACGGCUCCCCUGCUCCUGCAGAACCGCCUCACGUGAGCAGAGACUGUGAGUGGCUCCACAAAAGUCAUGGGAUGCUUCUACAGACUUUUUUGGUCCUGGACACACCGUGGUUUCCUUAUGCUCCCGCCCCGUUUCCCAACGCCGCAGCUUUGCUCAGGGCCAGCCGCGGGGACAAGGACUUUCCUGUUCUCCUGCAGUUGUUUGACUUGGGAGUUGGUGCUUUAAUUAAAACCCAGCGGCUGCCACAGACGCUGAGGAUGUGCCACAGUCCGGGAAAGGCCACUCAGAGGACUGCAGGGACACCAAACACCUCCUUUGCCACCCAGGGCUGCAGCCCAGGUGUCUCAUCCCGUGUUGCACUGCUCAAAAAUCAGCCGAUCUUCGAGGAUGCUCUCGGGUCUCAGUGUGACGCCCAGCAACAGCAGAGCUCCGAAGUUUUUAUAAUUCCACAGGUAUUUGAAGAUGGAUCCAUCUGUGCUUCCAUGGCUGUGGGGGACAUCCGGGCACAUCCCAGUGGCGUGCAAGGCACAAGGACACAAAGGAAAUUGCUCUGUCACUUGGAAUGGCUGUGCACAUCCUUUAAUGACAAACCAGGACAAAAAGAUGCUUGGCCUGGAGCGUUUCAGGCUGAGUCCAGAGAAUUGUUUGCCCUUGGAGCAGGCAGAGACCAAAGCUCAUGGAUGGUGAGACCGAGCCAUCCAUCAGCGCUGGCCGGUGGAAAAUACAGCACAGGAGGGAGAGCUCUGGCUCCCUGCUCCCCCCGGGAUGCUCAGGAGACACAAAACUGAU
This is an RNA transcript of Hirundo rustica (Barn swallow), 8592 nucleotides long. It is a transcript of the gene named myosin XVIIIB, with no coding region annotated. Lineage: Eukaryota; Metazoa; Chordata; Aves; Passeriformes; Hirundinidae. The transcript has 45 exons. The record is from RefSeq and is a predicted model, not a curated record.